GAUGAACGCUGACAGAAUGCUUAACACAUGCAAGUCAACUUGAACUUCGGUUUGGGUGGCGGACGGGUGAGUAACGCGUAAAGAACUUGCCUCACAGAUAGGGACAACAUUUGGAAACGAAUGCUAAUACCUGAUAUUAUGAUUAUAUGGCAUCGUAUAAUUAUGAAAGCUAUAUGCGCUGUGAGAGAGCUUUGCGUCCCAUUAGCUAGUUGGAGAGGUAACGGCUCACAAAGGCGAUGAUGGGUAGCCGGCCUGAGGGGGUGAUCGGCAACAAGGGGACGGAGACACGGCCCUAACUCCUCCGGGAGGCAGCGGUGGGGAUUAUUGAACAAUGGACCAAGAGUCUGAUCCAGCAGUUCUGUGUGCACGAUGAGGUUUUUCGGAAUGUAAAGUGCUUUCAGUUGGGAAGAAAAAAAUGACGGUACCAACAGAAGAAGUAACGGCUAAAUACGUG
Molecule: ribosomal RNA, 454 nt
Filed under: uncultured bacterium
Lineage: Bacteria
Description: partial 16S ribosomal RNA
Rfam family: Bacterial small subunit ribosomal RNA
Source: RNAcentral